CCCCCCCCCCCAACUCAAAUAUUUAUCUCCUAUUGGCUAUGAGUGCAUAGGGCAUUGCUUUACUGUAACCAAUUAAAAGCUCCCAUCAAACAUUUAAACUUUAUAAACGCCUACUCUUUGUUCUUAUUGGCGCCACAUUUUCUGGCGUAGUCACGUCUACUUCCAGAAAUAUUGUUUAAUAAUAACAUUACAUUAUCAACAAGUCAAUGCUAAACAAUAACAUUAUAUUAUUAGAGAAAAAAGAGAACAUGUAAACUUCACACAGGAAAUCACUCCUUCCGCAGCAACAGUUUCCUGAGGGAGGGGUGCUAAGUACAAUGAUCAACUGUUGUUUAUAUAAAUACAAUAAUAUAUAAUAAUAACUCUAAUAAUAUUUUCCCUUUGUACACACCUGUUUGUUUGUACUGUCAUGCAUCAUCAGUUUAACACACAGUAAUAGCACAUAUUUAUAUACACAAACAAAUAAGAAGCAAAAAUAAAUAUAAUGUAGAUAAAGUAAAAUGAUUCCAAACUAAUGACGUAAACUAGUGGACAACGGUGGAAGUGUGGUCGAGUACUAUUUAACAUUUAGGUUUAAUUCAGCAAGAAAAAGGAAAGUCACAGAAACGAAAGAAGCUAAAAGUUUAAUCAGAGUAAAGAGCAGAUAUUACAAUACUUUUUGGUAUAAAAACGUUUAAAAAGUGACGAUGAACGUAACCCAUUGUUGGUUAACAUUUAGCAUUGUAUGGGAACAGUUCAACAAAACAAUAAACACAAAUCUUACAAGCGCCUGUGGUCCAGUAGUUGAAGGGUCACUUGACUCAGGCCAAGAUAAACAUUGUUAGCAGAAGCAACUGGUGAUUACUGCUAUGUAACAGUUUGUAAUGAAAGUUACGUUUUAACGUGUUUUCCUGCAGAGGCUGUGCAUCUACUGUACAUAACAUCAACUGUAAUAAAAGGGUUUGUGCCACAGCCCUGUUCCAGCUUCAGUAGUUUUCAGUUGCUGCCUGUGUUCUGACUGCUGCUGACUGUCCUUUCUCUCCUCACCACAAAGCAGAUGGCCUCUCAGGGUUCUGCUUCUCCUGUCUUCUGGUGCUGCUUAGUUGGUUUUCUGUUCAACUCUGUAUUGUUGUAUUCUUGUGUUUUAUAGGGGGUUAAAUUAUCACAUUGUAAAGUGCCUUGAGAUACGAGUGAACUGGAGCUGUGCUGUAUAAAUACACUGAACUACAA
This is a long non-coding RNA of Betta splendens (Siamese fighting fish), 1209 nucleotides long. RefSeq lists it as uncharacterized. The transcript has 2 exons. NCBI's taxonomy places the organism in Eukaryota, Metazoa, Chordata, Actinopteri, Anabantiformes, Osphronemidae. The record is from RefSeq and is a predicted model, not a curated record.